GGCAGGUGCGUCGAACCGUCGGACCGACGGACGGCCCGGAUGACGCCACGCGGCAAGAUCCGGGGAGUCUUCGUUGGUCGUGCCUUCAUCUCGACCGUUGGGGGGCACUAUAUAUACAAAGUUACCCCCACAUGGUUCUUUACCCUCCUCAUUUUACAGUUGAAACUCUGCCCGCGUGAGUCCUUGUUCCAGGUACUCUCUCGCU
RNAcentral lists this long non-coding RNA (205 nucleotides) under Elaeis guineensis (African oil palm). Its description in RNAcentral is "long non-coding RNA (EGUI_LNC004266)". The record is from RNAcentral. Lineage: Eukaryota; Viridiplantae; Streptophyta; Magnoliopsida; Arecales; Arecaceae.